RNAcentral lists this ribosomal RNA (327 nucleotides) under uncultured Bacillota bacterium. Its description in RNAcentral is "bacterial SSU rRNA". It matches the Rfam family "Bacterial small subunit ribosomal RNA", at positions 28 to 351 of the family's 1533-position model. Lineage: Bacteria; Bacillati; Bacillota. The record is from RNAcentral.
GAUGAACGCUGGCGGCGUGCUUAACACAUGCAAGUCGAACGAACGAAGAGGAGCUUGCUCCUCUUCGUGAGUGGCGGACGGGUGAGUAACGCGUGGGUAACCUACCCUAUAGAGGGGGAUAACGUUUGGAAACGAACGCUAAUACCGCAUAAACUAUAGAUUGCCGCAUGGCAAUUAUAGCAAAGAUUUAUCACUAUAGGAUGGACCCGCGUUGGAUUAGCUAGUUGGUGAGAUAAUAGCCCACCAAGGCAACGAUCUAUAGCCGGCCUGAGAGGGUGAACGGCCACAUUGGGACUGAGACACGGCCCAAACUCCUACGGGUGGCUG